CCUACGGGUGGCAGCAGUGGGGAAUAUUGGGCAAUGGGCGCAAGCCUGACCCAGCAACGCCGCGUGAAGGAAGAAGGCUUUCGGGUUGUAAACUUCUUUUAAGAGGGAAGAGCAGAAGACGGUACCUCUUGAAUAAGCCACGGCUACCUACGUGCCAGCAGCCGCGGUAAUACGUAGGUGGCAAGCGUUGUCCGGAUUUACUGGGGGUAAAGGGCGUGUAGCCGGGCUGACAAGUCAGAUGUUAAAUUCCGGGGCUCAACCCCGGACCUGCAUUUGAAACUGUUGGUCUUGAGUAUCGGAGAGGCAGGCUGAAUUCCUAGUGUAGCGGUGGAAUGCGUAGAUAUUAGGAGGAACAUCAGUGGCGAAGGCGACUUUCUGGAUUGUAACUGACGCUGAGGCACGAAAGUGUGGGGAGCAAACAGGAUUAGAUACCCUGGUAGUC
This 442-nucleotide ribosomal RNA is filed under the name uncultured bacterium. RNAcentral describes it as "partial 16S ribosomal RNA". It matches the Rfam family "Bacterial small subunit ribosomal RNA", at positions 338 to 795 of the family's 1533-position model. The record is from RNAcentral.